Long non-coding RNA from Pipra filicauda (Wire-tailed manakin), 300 nucleotides. RefSeq lists it as uncharacterized. The transcript has 2 exons. NCBI's taxonomy places the organism in Eukaryota, Metazoa, Chordata, Aves, Passeriformes, Pipridae. The record is from RefSeq and is a predicted model, not a curated record.
CAGGCAAACUUUGCAACAGUUGCUGCCAAGUCACAGAUGAAUGCAGAAGUAGCUGGCAGAACCAGAUAUCCAGAGAGAACCUGUGAGUGUCAAAGCUGCACAUCCUCUGAAAAUUGCUCUAAUUGUUGUCCUUCUCUAAAGGAUCCUGACUGUGGGAAGCAUAGUUUGUAAGCUGACUGUGAGUUCUCCAUGUGCACGACAACAGCUGAUGAUGAGUUUUCUGCUCUGUAGCCCCACUAUGGCCCCCAAGUAACCUAUUUUCAAACACUGCUAAAUUAAAUUUUUUCUCCUUUUACUGUC